RNAcentral lists this ribosomal RNA (492 nucleotides) under uncultured bacterium. Its description in RNAcentral is "partial 16S ribosomal RNA". It matches the Rfam family "Bacterial small subunit ribosomal RNA", at positions 29 to 507 of the family's 1533-position model. The record is from RNAcentral.
AGUGAACGCUGGCGGUAGGCCUAACACAUGCAAGUCGAACGGCAGCACAGUAAGAGCUUGCUCUUACGGGUGGCGAGUGGCGGACGGGUGAGGAAUACAUCGGAAUCUACUUUUUCGUGGGGGAUAACGUAGGGAAACUUACGCUAAUACCGCAUACGACCUACGGGUGAAAGCAGGGGAUCUUCGGACCUUGCGCGAUUGAAUGAGCCGAUGUCGGAUUAGCUAGUUGGCGGGGUAAAGGCCCACCAAGGCGACGAUCCGUAGCUGGUCUGAGAGGAUGAUAAGCAACACUGGAACGGAGACACGGUCCAGACUCCUACGGGAGGCAGCAGUGGGGAAUAUUGGACAAUGGGCGAAAGCAUGAUCCAGCCAUCCCGGGUGGGUGAAGAAGGCCUUCGGGUUGUAAAGCCCUUUUGUGGGGAAAGAAAAGCAGCAGGUUAAUCCCCCGCUGUUCUGACGGUCCCCAAAGAAUAAGCACCGGCUAACUUCGUG